AUAACAUGAGGACAGUCGGACUCCCGAGCAAUAUCACCAGCUCGGUGGAAGAUCUUCCCUUUGUCGU
Molecule: microRNA precursor, 67 nt
Filed under: Bombyx mori (domestic silkworm)
Lineage: Eukaryota; Metazoa; Arthropoda; Insecta; Lepidoptera; Bombycidae
Description: mir-2774 microRNA precursor family
Rfam family: mir-2774 microRNA precursor family
Source: Rfam by way of RNAcentral